AUUGAACGCUGGCGGCAGGCUUAACACAUGCAAGUCGAGCGGGGAUAGGGUGCUUGCACCUGAUUCCUAGCGGCGGACGGGUGAGUAAUGCUUAGGAAUCUGCCUAUUAGUGGGGGACAACGUUCCGAAAGGGACGCUAAUACCGCAUACGUCCUACGGGAGAAAGCAGGGGAUCUUCGGACCUUGCGCUAAUAGAUGAGCCUAAGUCGGAUUAGCUAGUUGGUGGGGUAAAGGCCUACCAAGGCGACGAUCUGUAGCGGGUCUGAGAGGAUGAUCCGCCACACUGGGACUGAGACACGGCCCAGACUCCUACGGGAGGCAGCAGUGGGGAAUAUUGGACAAUGGGGGCAACCCUGAUCCAGCCAUGCCGCGUGUGUGAAGAAGGCCUUUUGGUUGUAAAGCACUUUAAGCGAGGAGGAGGCUUACCUGGUUAAUACCUGGGAUAAGUGGACGUUACUCGCAGAAUAAGCACCGGCUAACUCU
RNAcentral lists this ribosomal RNA (483 nucleotides) under uncultured Gammaproteobacteria bacterium. Its description in RNAcentral is "bacterial SSU rRNA". It matches the Rfam family "Bacterial small subunit ribosomal RNA", at positions 30 to 504 of the family's 1533-position model. Lineage: Bacteria; Pseudomonadati; Pseudomonadota; Gammaproteobacteria. The record is from RNAcentral.